UUCCCUCGCCGAACUCCCCUAAGCCCUUGCCCCGCGACGCGCCUCCUUCCUCUCUUCUCGCGAGCCACCGCACCCUAGCCGGCGAUUCCCUUCCCCUUCUCAAGUUUUCGGACGCCGCCGAUCUCCUCCUCACGCGAACGAGCCACAGCAGACGUCGACUUCUCUCUUCCUCUCACCCGAGCAACCGACGACCUCUCCUCACGCCAGCACCGGGACGCCGCGACGAGCCAACGGCUGACACCGACCCUCUCCUCCCCGAGUCGUGCCCUAACCGACCUGGUAACAGGUAGAUGAGUCAUGGAUGCUUGGAGAGUCCCGGCUGCCAGUCCCAGGUUACACUCGAGGAUAGUUUUCGUUUUGGUUUUGUUAUCGUUUGAGGUGGUAUAUUGAUUUUGUGUAUUUUGUUUUCAAUAAGACGCUAUGAUUUUGGGUCA
Molecule: long non-coding RNA, 434 nt
Organism: Zingiber officinale
Lineage: Eukaryota; Viridiplantae; Streptophyta; Magnoliopsida; Zingiberales; Zingiberaceae
Exons: 2
Source: RefSeq, a predicted model, not a curated record